Molecule: non-coding RNA, 186 nt
Organism: Podarcis lilfordi (Lilford's wall lizard)
Lineage: Eukaryota; Metazoa; Chordata; Lepidosauria; Squamata; Lacertidae
Source: the annotation of a GenBank genome assembly
UUCCUGAUGUUUAGUCGGAAUCUCCUUUCUUGCAACUUGAAGCCAUUCGAGUUCUACGCUCCAGAGCAGGAGAAAACAAGAUUGCUCCCUUCUCCAUGUGACAGCCCUUAAGAUAUUUGAAGAUGGCUAUCAUAUCUCCUCUCAGUCUCCUCUUCUCCAGGCUAAACAUACCCAGCUCCUUCAACC